RNAcentral lists this transfer RNA (92 nucleotides) under Camillea tinctor. RNAcentral's name for it is "tRNA-Arg". It matches the Rfam family "tRNA". Rfam says of the family: Transfer RNA (tRNA) molecules are approximately 80 nucleotides in length. Their secondary structure includes four short double-helical elements and three loops (D, anti-codon, and T loops). The record is from RNAcentral. Lineage: Eukaryota; Fungi; Ascomycota; Sordariomycetes; Xylariales; Graphostromataceae.
GGUCGAGUGGCCCAAUGGCAAGGCGUCUGACUACGAACUCAUAUUGAGUUUAGUUAAUCAGAAGAUUGUGGGUUCGAUCCCCAUCUUGAUCA